Bombus terrestris (buff-tailed bumblebee) is the source of this 383-nucleotide long non-coding RNA. RefSeq lists it as uncharacterized. Lineage: Eukaryota; Metazoa; Arthropoda; Insecta; Hymenoptera; Apidae. The record is from RefSeq and is a predicted model, not a curated record. The transcript has 3 exons.
GUUAAAUAUAUCGUAACAAAAUCAAUAAGGCAACGCUUGCAGAUUAAAAAAUGUGGAAUGCAAUGUCUAAAAUGAAUUUAUAUGAGAAAUGAAAUGAGAUUACAGCGAGAGAAAUCUUGUCUAUAACAAGUUGGCAUGCGAGAUUGGAUCCUAAAAAAUUGAAUCACCAUCCAACAAAAUAUAAUAGCUUUUAGAAAGUACGAGGAUCUAUCCGUGGAGACGUACUAUAGAGAUUAGAAACAUAUGCACCAUUCAGACAGGCAUAUAACAGGACUUUUCAAUAGUAAUAAAAUUGGCACUUACCCUAUACUUGAACCACCUGUAUUAUUAAUACUUGAUGGAUGAAUUGAUAUUCCACUGCUGUAACUACUUUCAUUAACAAG